AUAAGCGCACCCCACCAUGCCUGUCUAAUUUUUGUAUUUUUAGUAGAGACAGGGUUUCAUUCACCAUGUUGGUCAGGCUGGUCUCGAAUUCCUGACCUCGUGAUCCACGAGCCUCGGCCUCCCAAAGUGCUGGGAUUACAGGCAUGAGCCCCCGCGCCUGGCCUUCCAUGUGGUCUUAUACUCUUCUACAUAAAGAACACCAUGAACAACAGCUUUUAGGGAAGGUGAUUUUUUUUUUUGUUUUGUUUUUAAGAAAAGCCCUGGGAGUGGAAUGCAGGGCUCAAAAGUGUUUAUGCAUUUUUCUCUCAUCUGGAAAAACACAACUGAACCUUUUUAUUGCUUAGUCUAGAUUGGAACCUUCCUGGCACUCUAAUCCAGACCCUGAAAUUCCUGUAACAUUUGUAAGUUUGGCCACUAAGCAUCUGUUCUACCCAUGCCUGAAGGAAGUAGCUCAUGCCCCAGGACCAGGAAUAGGUUUUGAUGGGUCUUAGCCAAUCCACAUGUCCCACCCGCCGUCUGCAGCCAUUUAUUCAGGGCUGGCUCUGAACCAAAUCAGAGCCAAGGAAAGCAAGAGACUUUUUUGGCAUUCUUUUUUUUUUUGCUCUGUCGCGCAGGCUGGAGUAUAAUGGCACCGCCUUGGCUCACUGCAACCUCUGCCUCCCAGGUUCAAGUGAUUCUCCUGCCUCAGCCUCCCAAGUAGCUGAGACUACAGGCAUGUACCAUCACACCUGGCUAAUUUUUUUGUAUUUUUAGUAGAGACGGGGUUUCGCCAUGUUGACCAGGCUGGUCUCAAACUCUUGACCUCGUGAUCCACCCGCCUCAGCCUCCCAAAGUUCUGGGAUUACAGGCGUGAGCCACCGCACCCAGUCUUUGGCAUUCUUGAGAAAGAGAAGUGGCUGCCCCCCACACCCGUGGGUGCUACCAGGGAGACCUUUUCUGGGACAGUGUAGGGAAGGACAAGGAAUCCUUUAGCACAGUGGUGGUAGGUCGUGGAUAGUGGGUCAUCUAAGCAUGACAUUGCAGAGAUCAGAGCAGGUUGAGAGAGAGAGAGAGAGAGACCCCCUCUCCAUUCCUGAUUAUGUUGUUUGAGUCACUUGAAGCCAGCUAACAGAUUCCAUUUGCUUAAACCAGUUUCCAUUCAUUCAUUUCUUUGACCAAUAUAUACUGAUCACUUACUAUGUGGACAAUUUCUAGGAACCAUUUGAGCUAGGUUUUCCAUGAGCAUAAUUCUAAAUCUAAUCUUAACCUAACCCUUAGUCAUAAACUAGAACUCUGACCCUUUUCUAGUGAAGAGCUUUUAGUGGCAAGAAACAAAGUCCUGGACCACUCACACUGACCCAGUCCAAGGGGCAUUGGUGUAAGAAUAUGCAUGAAUCACUAAGUGAAAUUCCAGGAAUAUUACAAAGAUUUUACCAGCAAUGGGCCUCAUGAGGGACCUAACUGAUGAGGAAUUCAAUCCCUCCCUACUACCUGUGUCUUCAAAGAUUCUGAAUGUCAAAAACCCCAACUAAUAAAGAGAUCCUUAAAUGAUUCAUUCCCUGGACAAACUCCGUGACCACCUAUAUAGAUCUUUAAUAGGAAUCUCCCCUGGACAAAUUUUUUUUUUUUUUGACUGAGUCUUAUACUCUGUCACCCAGGCUGGAGUGCAGUGGCGUGAUCUCGGCUCACUGCAACCUCCGCCUCCCGGGUUCAAGCAAUUAUCCUGCCUCAGCCCCCAAGUAGCUGGGACUACAGGCACCUGCCACCACACCUGG
RNAcentral lists this long non-coding RNA (1754 nucleotides) under Homo sapiens (human). Its description in RNAcentral is "HSALNT0005828". Lineage: Eukaryota; Metazoa; Chordata; Mammalia; Primates; Hominidae. The record is from RNAcentral.